CAGCAGCCGCGGUAAUACGGAGGGUGCAAGCGUUAUCCGGAUUUAUUGGGUUUAAAGGGUCCGUAGGCGGAUCUGUAAGUCAGUGGUGAAAUCUCACAGCUUAACUGUGAAACUGCCAUUGAUACUGCAGGUCUUGAGUAAAUUUGAAGUGGCUGGAAUAAGUAGUGUAGCGGUGAAAUGCAUAGAUAUUACUUAGAACACCAAUUGCGAAGGCAGGUCACUAAGAUUUAACUGACGCUGAUGGACGAAAGCGUGGGGAGCGAACAGGAUUAGAGACCCCAGUAGUCCCUGUCUCUUAUAC
Molecule: ribosomal RNA, 301 nt
Filed under: uncultured bacterium
Lineage: Bacteria
Description: partial 16S ribosomal RNA
Rfam family: Bacterial small subunit ribosomal RNA
Source: RNAcentral